CGAGUGGCGAACGGGUGAGUAACACGUGAGGAACGUGCCCUUGACUUUGGUAUAGCACUUGGAAACAGGUGGUAAUCCCGAAUAUUCAGUUUCCCGGGCAUCCGGGUUGUUGGAAAGCUUUUUGCGGUCAGGGAUCGUCUCGCGGCCUAUCAGCUUGUUGGUGGGGUAGUGGCCCACCAAGGCCUUGACGGGUAGCCGGCCUGAGAGGGCGACCGGCCACAUUGGGACUGAGAUACGGCCCAGACUCCUACGGGAGGCAGCAGUGGGGAAUAUUGCACAAUGGGCGGAAGCCUGAUGCAGCAACGCCGCGUGCGGGAUGACGGCCUUCGGGUUGUAAACCGCUUUCACCCAUGACGAAGCGCGAGUGACGGUAGUGGGGGAAGAAGCACCGGCCAACUACGUGCCAGCAGCCGCGGUGAUACGUAGGGUGCGAGCGUUGUCCGGAAUUAUUGGGCGUAAAGAGCUUGUAGGCGGUUGAUCGCGUCGAUAGUGAAAUCCCGGGGCUCAACCUCGGGCUUGCUGUCGAUACGGGUUGACUUGAGGAAGGUAGGGGAGAAUGGAACUCCCGGUGGAGCGGUGGAAUGCGCAGAUAUCGGGAAGAACACCGGUGGCGAAGGCGGUUCUCUGGACCUUUCCUGACGCUGAGAAGCGAAAGCGUGGGGAGCAAACAGGCUUAGAUACCCUGGUAGUCCACGCUGUAAACGGUGGGUACUAGGUGUGG
Molecule: ribosomal RNA, 721 nt
Filed under: Propionibacterium acidifaciens
Lineage: Bacteria; Bacillati; Actinomycetota; Actinomycetes; Propionibacteriales; Propionibacteriaceae
Description: bacterial SSU rRNA
Rfam family: Bacterial small subunit ribosomal RNA
Source: RNAcentral